AGGAAGGUUCUUCUUUAUUCCCUUUUGGGAAGGGACCCCCGGGGGUUAUUAGCUAAGUUGGGGGAGGUAAAAGGCUCCACCAAGGCCAGGUGAUUCGUAGCCCGCCCUGAGAAGGGUAAUCGGCCCACAUUGGGGAUUGAGACCCGGCCCCAGACUCCUACGGGAGGCAGCAGUAGGGAAUUUUUCCACAAUGGACGCAAGUUUGAUGGAGCAACGCCGCGUGAGUGAAGAAGGGUUUUCGGCUCGUAAAGCUCUGUUGUUAAAGAAGAACGUGGGUAAGAGUAACUGUUUACCCAGUGACGGUAUUUAACCAGAAAGCCACGGCUAACUACGUGCCAGCAGCCGCGGUAAUACGUAGGUGGCAAGCGUUAUCCGGAUUUAUUGGGCGUAAAGCGAGCGCAGGCGGUCUUUUAAGUCUAAUGUGAAAGCCUUCGGCUCAACCGAAGAAGUGCAUUGGAAACUGGGAGACUUGAGUGCAGAAGAGGACAGUGGAACUCCAUGUGUAGCGGUGAAAUGCGUAGAUAUAUGGAAGAACACCAGUGGCGAAGGCGGCUGUCUGGUCUGCAACUGACGCUGAGGCUCGAAAGCAUGGGUAGCGAACAGGAUUAGAUACCCUGGUAGUCCAUGCCGUAAACGAUGAUUACUAAGUGUUGGAGGGUUUCCGCCCUUCAGUGCUGCAGCUAACGCAUUAAGUAAUCCGCCUGGGGAGUACGACCGCAAGGUUGAAACUCAAAAGAAUUGACGGGGGCCCGCACAAGCGGUGGAGCAUGUGGUUUAAUUCGAAGCUACGCGAAGAACCUUACCAGGUCUUGACAUCUUCUGACAGUCUAAGAGAUUAGAGGUUCCCUUCGGGGACAGAAUGACAGGUGGUGCAUGGUUGUCGUCAGCUCGUGUCGUGAGAUGUUGGGUUAAGUCCCGCAACGAGCGCAACCCUUAUUACUAGUUGCCAGCAUUAAGUUGGGCACUCUAGUGAGACUGCCGGUGACAAACCGGAGGAAGGUGGGGACGACGUCAAAUCAUCAUGCCCCUUAUGACCUGGGCUACACACGUGCUACAAUGGAUGGUACAACGAGUCGCGAGACCGCGAGGUUAAGCUAAUCUCUUAAAACCAUUCUCAGUUCGGACUGUAGGCUGCAACUCGCCUACACGAAGUCGGAAUCGCUAGUAAUCGCGGAUCAGCAUGCCGCGGUGAAUACGUUCCCGGGCCUUGUACACACCGCCCGUCACACCAUGAGAGUUUGUAACACCCAAAGCCGGUGGGGUAACCUUUAGGAGCUAGCCGUCUAAGGUGACAGAGUUGUCGG
This 1304-nucleotide ribosomal RNA is filed under the name Pediococcus pentosaceus. Its description in RNAcentral is "bacterial SSU rRNA". It matches the Rfam family "Bacterial small subunit ribosomal RNA", at positions 202 to 1478 of the family's 1533-position model. Lineage: Bacteria; Bacillati; Bacillota; Bacilli; Lactobacillales; Lactobacillaceae. The record is from RNAcentral.